UUCUGGGUGAGGGGAAACUGUUGAAAUCCUUACUUAAUGUAUACUAAGCUGAUCUUCUGUAUAUUAAGAUAAUCAAAAAUGAAUCUUGAUGUGAAUGGAGGGGGAGAGGGAGUGGGAGGGGGGAGGGUGGUGGGUGGGAGGGACGUUAUGGGGGGGAAGCCAUUGUAAUCCAUAAGCUGUACUUUGGAAAUUUAUAUUCAUUAAAUAAAAGUUAAAAAAAUUAUAUCAAUAACCAGAAUUUUAAAGGUUUUUAUAUAUAUAAUAUAUAUGUGUGUGUGUUUAAUUUAUGACAUUACAAUAUAAAUGUACAUAUAUAUAAUUUGUAAUAUAAAUAUAUAGAGAGCAACAUUUUGAAAUUUUUAUAAUGUAUUUGUUAUCAGAAAGGAAUAGCUCAGAUUUCUGUAAUAAUCCAGUUUCUGAUCAUUAAAAGAAUGAAGAGUAAGCCAUCAAGUUGUAGCUCAUAAUCUCUGUUUCUCUGUGUCUCCAAGUCUACCAACUUCUAAAAUUAAAUAAACAUACAUAAUUCUGGGAUAAAAAUAACAUUAAGAUCCCACUAUUUUCCCGCAUAAUUUUCAGGAAAUAUAGAAAAUAUAUGUAUGUUAUAUAUGUUACAUAUAUUAAUAUAUAUAUAUAUAUAUAUUACAUUGAGGAGAAAGAAUUAUUACCCUUGGCUAAAAUGGCCCUGAGACACUGUGUACCUGACAGUUUCCAGGGCAACUUACAGAAUGUUGGGGGUGAUGAUGAUCUUACAAUAAAAAAAAAUUUCUUCUGCCAUCAAUCAAUUCACAUGAAGAGACUCAGAAUUGAAAAAACAUACACGCACAGAAAAUUCAUGUACCAUAUGUCACCUCUCAAUGGUUACCUGACAACUCACAAAAAGAAAAAAUCCUGUGACUGUAUUGUAAUGUGAAAUACCUUUGUUAUUAGGGAAACUUCCACAAAACAUAGGAAGCCCAGCUGAGUACAGUCCAUAACACAGAGUCAGAACUGCAAAUCAAAUGGCUAUUUGUUAAGCCAUUGUGUUUUCUGAUUUGUGCUACAUCAAAUGCUGAUAUAUAUCAGUAAGUAUGAAAGGAAGUUGAAUUACAUGCAAACUACAAUGCAUACAAC
This 1110-nucleotide long non-coding RNA is filed under the name Oryctolagus cuniculus (rabbit). Its description in RNAcentral is "lncRNA (ENSOCUG00000038314.1)". The record is from RNAcentral. Lineage: Eukaryota; Metazoa; Chordata; Mammalia; Lagomorpha; Leporidae.